Molecule: ribosomal RNA, 268 nt
Filed under: uncultured bacterium
Lineage: Bacteria
Description: partial 16S ribosomal RNA
Rfam family: Bacterial small subunit ribosomal RNA
Source: RNAcentral
UACGAAGGGUGCAAACGUUGCUCGGAAUUAUUGGGCGUAAAGCGCACGUAGGCGGCUUAGCAAGUCGGAUGUGAAAUCCCUCGGCUCAACCAAGGAAGUGCAUCCGAAACUGCUGAGCUUGAGUACUUAAGAGGAUCGCGAAUUCCCGGUGUAGAGGUGAAAUUCGUAGAUAUCGGGAGGAACACCAGUGGCGAAGGCGGCUAUCUGGACCUCAACUGACGCUGAGGCGCGAAAGCGUGGGGAGCAAACAGGAUUAGAAACCCCGGUA